This 3878-nucleotide long non-coding RNA is filed under the name Olea europaea subsp. europaea. Lineage: Eukaryota; Viridiplantae; Streptophyta; Magnoliopsida; Lamiales; Oleaceae. The record is from RNAcentral.
GUUUACCAUUACAUAAAUCCACUUUUACCAUCUAUUGAUAAUCCAACAUAUUGACAGCUAUACUUCUAUGAUACUAAUAAUGAAUUACCGAAUCGAUUAAACAUUUCGGAUAAAUUUUGUGAAUCAACCUUACAAAUAUUGAUUGAUAUCUUAAAGAUUAAUCCUUAUUCUAGGUUCUUCUGCUCUUAACUAGUUUUGGCAAUUUGCAUACAUGUUGAAUACAAAUACGAUGCGAUCUUGGCCCAGACCAGCGAGUUUAUAACACACCAACUGUUUCACAAGUAGCUUCUGUUUGGGUUGAUAAAGAUCCAUCUACAAAUAGCAGAGUCCGUGAUAUAAUGAUUUACGAUCAUACUGGCACUUCACACAAAGUGCACUAUUAUUUUGGUUGUUAUGACCCUCUUCUAUAGCCGUUGCUUUUUCCUUACAGUGAAUCUGGAUCGCACAAGGGCAUUCCUAGAUUUAAUAAAGAGGUGAUUGGAUAUUAUUCUAUACAAGAGAACCUUUUAAACAUGAGCAAUAUACAUUCUGUAAGUGAAUUGAUUAAAAGAGAAAGUCAAGAUUAAUAAUAUUGAUUUUUCCCAUUUAUUUUGUCCUAGAAUAUAGUUUGAUUAUUGUUUUUGUUUUUCUGUCUUGUAGUUAUGAAGGGAAAGAAAAGGUCACAAGUGUUAUGUCGAGAGUACUGCUGCUAUAAUUAAAGGUACGAGACUCAGGUAAUUGUAUCUUACUUCAUGCUGGUAGGAUUUUACAACAAUAUGUUGUUGAUAUGUAUAUGAAAAUUGAAAUUGUUAGAUUAGAUUAUUUUCGUAAUAAUAAAAAACAAUUACGAGUAGAGCUAUAUCAAGGAAUUGUUGAUAGUGUUGAAAUAGGUGAAACUAGAGGUCAUGAAAUCGGUCGAAUGAUUAUUUUACCAUCAUCAUUUACUGGAGGACCUAGGGAUAAUAAAAAGAGAUAUAUGGAUGCAAAGGCACUUGUUCAAAGAUAUGAUAAGCCAUAUGUGUUUUUGACAAUAACUUGUAAUCCUAAUUGGCUUGAAAUAAAGGAAGAACUAAGAUAUAAUGAUGAAAAACAAAAUAGACCUGAUUUGUUUGCAAGGAUAUAUAGAGCUAAAUUAGAAUAACUAAAAAAUGAUUUGUUUAGAAGGCAUCUUCUAGGACCUGUUUCCGCGUACAUAUACGUGGUCGAAUUCUAAAAGAGAGGUUUUCCACAUGCUCAUUUUUUGUUAAUUUUUAAAACUGGAUCUAAAGUUACAUCCAUUCCUUUAGUUGAUAAAAUUGUUUGUUGUAAAAUCCCAAAUAGAAAUCAUUAUCCACAUUUAUAUGAUACUGUUGUGAGAUACAUGAUGCAUGGUCCCUGUGGAACAUUAAAUCCAAAUAAUGUUUGUAUGGAAAGUAACAAAAAAUGUAAAAAUAAAUACCCGAGAGAAUAUGCAAUAACUUCACCGGGCAACAAUUCAUAUCCACAAUAUAGACACUGUAAUGACGAUAAAAAAGAUCAAGUCAGAGGACAUUUAUUGGAUAAUAGGUGGGUUGUACCUUAUAACCCUUACUUAACGGCUAAGUAUGAUUGUUGUGUUAAUGUAGAAACAUGUUCAACUGUUAAAGCUGUCAAAUAUUUAUAUAAAUAUGUUUACAAAGGAAAUGAUUGAAUUAGUUUUUCCGAAUUGAAAAUAACAAAGAUGUUGAUAUUGAUGAAAUUUCAAUAUAUCAAAAUGCUAGGCGGAUCUCUCCAUUUGAAGCAAUGUGGAAUAUUUAUGAAUUUGUAUUUUCUAAGAUGUUUCUAUGAAUUGGUUCACUACAUUUGCAUCUUGAAGACCAUCAAACAAUUACGUAUAGAGAUAACACACGAAGAACAAUGUAAAACUGAAUUCUUUCACAUGAAUAUCACAAAUGAAAAAGCUAGAACUCUUUUGUAUAGAGAUUUUUCGUCCAAUUUUGUGUGGGAUGUGAACAAAUGACCAUGGACUAUUAGAAAACAAAAUGUAAUUGGUAAAAUAGUUACAGCACUAUUAGACUUUGCUGAAAUAAACACUAACUCUGAUAACAAAAAAACAUCCACACCAUAAGCAAAACAAGUGCUCUUUCAAACUUCAGCCGAGCCAGUACUUCCUGAUAUACCAUCUGAGAGAAGUAUUGAUAGCUCCAGCUCUAAAACUCAUCGAGUCAUAAUAAUGAGAAAGCUCGGCUAAUUAUCGUCAUAUCUUUUCGUGGACGACAUCAAUGCUACAACCUAAAAGCGUGUUUUGCCAUCUCCGUCAAACUAAUACAACUGCACCCGUCAACGAAUAACUUUGUUUUACUUUGUAGCGCUGGUUUCUAUGAUAACUACUCCCAUGAAGUUUAACGUUAGUUAGCUGAAACGUACGAUAACUUCUUGAUGAUUUCAAGUUGAAACAUUUCUUAAUUUUGUAAUAGGAAUGUAUAACUGCCUUCACGAGGCUUUUGUAGCUCGCAACUUAGCUGUGAUAUUGUAUAAGUUCAAGCUUUAUCAAUUGUCUACAUUAACCUCUAUUUACCAUUACAUUCUAAUUAUAAGCUCUCAUAGUAUUCCAUAUAUUGUUCAGCUAAUACGCGUGAUUUCUUCUAUAUAUCUACGCUAUUAUAGAGUCAACUACAACAUUUCACGUGCAUUGCCCGUGCAUCUUACUAGUCAUCAGUAAAAAUGCCACAUUCAAAAUUAAUGACAAAUGAAGCAUUAUAUAACACAAAUUUAUGGCUAUUACAUAUGCAACAUUAUCCCAAUCAAACGUACUAUUAAUUAUAAUCCAAAUAAAUUAGGCAUUAGAUUACAAAUUUCUAUCCAUAUCAAGUAUUUUUAGAUCCAUACACGUUAUUAGCAAGAGAAAAAGAGUGAAAAUUGAAUUCCUAACUCAAUUGAAUGACAUUAUUAUUAAAUUAAUUAUACGAUAGAGUUUGAUAUAAUCUAAUUGGCAAAACAACUAAUCUUAUUUGAAUUCAAACUGACUGUAAGUGAUUAAUCUUGGUGAAUGUAUUUUUUCCAAAAUCCUUUAAAGAUAAUUUGCUUGGUCUCCUCUAACGUAGUUCAGUCUUAUCAAAAUUAUUAUUUUUUCUUUUUAAUCCUAAUGUGCACAAUUAAUUAUGAUCUGUCGAACGAGUCCAAUAUUUCUGUAGUAGUUUGGUCUAAAUCGAAAACUAGUAUUAUUAACCAAGGAGAUUUUUUAUUUGGCUCUAACUCGAGUUUGCCUUAUUCAAAACAACUUUUUCUUGAGUUUAGAAUGCACAAUUUAUUACGGCUUCAAAAUUAACCUAAUAUUGAUAUGGUAAUUCUAACUCUUUUAAUAGUUAACUAUUUGAACCAAUUAAAUAACUAUAAAAUAUAAUAUUUAUUUCUAUUUUGAUCCCUCAACUAUUAAGGAAAAAUUAUGUAGAUCCAAAUUAACUAUUAAUCAUAACAAACUGACUUGCAUAAAUACUUGACUAGACAUGACAUUUUUGUCAAUUGAAAAAAAAAAAUAUUUGAUAAAACUCGUAAAAUUUUGGGAUUCUACAGGAACAAUUAGAUAAUUAUAUGGUAAAUUAAGUAUUUUUCAAAAUUCCAAGAUUGUUGUCGAAUGGAUGUUGAAAUGCAAAUGCACAGUUUGGUAUUUGUGGGAUUUUUGGGAGGGGUUAUUAAACUUAAUGAGUUUAUUUGAGAUACAGAUUUCACACUAGUUCAGGGAAGGCAAUCAAGUGGUGGAUUUAUUAGCAAAAAUGGGUGCACAAGGGGUAAUGCAGAGAUUUACAUCUUCUGGUGACUUGCUUGAGUAGGCUCGAGGACUUGUCCAGUUGGAUCGCAUUGGAGUUCCCUAUUUACGUAAGUGAGUUGAUUGGUCUAGAAAAUUUUUAAAUUCGUUAUUUGUAAGGCUAUUUUGUCAUCAC